AGUCGAACGGCAGCACGGGUGCUUGCACCUGGUGGCGAGUGGCGAACGGGUGAGUAAUGCAUCGGAACGUAUCCAAUAAUGGGGGAUAACGCAUCGAAAGGUGUGCUAAUACCGCAUACGCCCUGAGGGGGAAAGCUGGGGAUCUUCGGACCUAGCGUUAAUGGAGCGGCCGAUGCCUGAUUAGCUAGUUGGUGAGGUAAAGGCUCACCAAGGCGACGAUCAGUAGCUGGUCUGAGAGGACGACCAGCCACACUGGGACUGAGACACGGCCCAGACUCCUACGGGAGGCAGCAGUGGGGAAUUUUGGACAAUGGGGGCAACCCUGAUCCAGCCAUGCCGCGUGAGUGAAGAAGGCCUUCGGGUUGUAAAGCUCUUUCGCAAGGGAAGAAAAAGCAGGCUCUAACAUAGCCUGUUCAUGACGGUACCUUGAUAAGAAGCACCGGCUAACUACGUGCCAGCAGCCGCGGUAAUACGUAGGGUGCGAGCGUUAAUCGGAAUUACUGGGCGUAAAGCGUGCGCAGGCGGUUUUUUAAGACAGACGUGAAAGCCCCGGGCUUAACCUGGGAACGGCGUUUGUGACUGGAAGACUAGAGUAUGGCAGAGGGGGGUAGAAUUCCACGUGUAGCAGUGAAAUGCGUAGAGAUGUGGAGGAAUACCGAUGGCGAAGGCAGCCCCCUGGGUCAAUACUGACGCUCAUGCACGAAAGCGUGGGGAGCAAACAGGAUUAGAUACCC
RNAcentral lists this ribosomal RNA (734 nucleotides) under uncultured bacterium. RNAcentral describes it as "bacterial SSU rRNA". It matches the Rfam family "Bacterial small subunit ribosomal RNA", at positions 60 to 787 of the family's 1533-position model. The record is from RNAcentral.